GUGCCAGCCGCCGCGGUAAUACGAAGGGACCUAGCGUAGUUCGGAAUUACUGGGCUUAAAGAGCUCGUAGGUGGUUAAAAAAGUUGAUGGUGAAAUCCCAAGGCUCAACCUUGGAACUGCCAUCAAAACUUUUUAGCUAGAGUGUGAUAGAGGUAAGUGGAAUUUCUAGUGUAGAGGUGAAAUUCGUAGAUAUUAGAAAGAACACCAAAUGCGAAGGCAACUUACUGGGUCACUACUGACACUGAGGAGCGAAAGCAUGGGUAGCGAAGAGGAUUAGAUACCCUCGUAGUCCAUGCCGUAAACGAUGUGUGCUAGACGUUGGAAAUAUAUUUUUCAGUGUCGCAGCGAAAGCAUUAAGCACACCGCCUGGGGAGUACGACCGCAAGGUUAAAACUCAAAUGAAUUGGCGG
Molecule: ribosomal RNA, 410 nt
Filed under: uncultured bacterium
Lineage: Bacteria
Description: bacterial SSU rRNA
Rfam family: Bacterial small subunit ribosomal RNA
Source: RNAcentral